AUUGGUUGAAAAUCACCCCCGGGCUUUGGCCAUGGCUGCAGGCGAGAUUCGAUGCCCAGAGCCUCAGCUCACCACACACUGCCCCGUGUGUGGCGGUGAAACCCAGGCCCCAACGGAU
This is a small nucleolar RNA of Papio anubis (olive baboon), 118 nucleotides long. NCBI's taxonomy places the organism in Eukaryota, Metazoa, Chordata, Mammalia, Primates, Cercopithecidae. The record is from Ensembl.